RNAcentral lists this transfer RNA (67 nucleotides) under Heterotermes tenuis. RNAcentral's name for it is "tRNA-Leu". It matches the Rfam family "tRNA". Rfam says of the family: Transfer RNA (tRNA) molecules are approximately 80 nucleotides in length. Their secondary structure includes four short double-helical elements and three loops (D, anti-codon, and T loops). The record is from RNAcentral. Lineage: Eukaryota; Metazoa; Arthropoda; Insecta; Blattodea; Rhinotermitidae.
GCUAUUUUGGCAGAUAAGUGCACUGGAUUUAGAAUCUAUUAACGUAAAUUUUAUUUUACAAGUAGUA